CUAAUUGAUGUGUUUACUGUUCUAAUUUACUUCUGUUCUCUAGUUUAGGUAUCACAAAGUGCCAGAUGUUUGUUGAAUUCUAUACCAGGCUGAUGCAUUCUGUUGGAAUAAAAUUAAUCAUCACUGGUAUCUUGCAUAUAUUUUUGUCAAUGCAGGCAUGAAUCAAAAUUAAAGAUAAUGGUAGCUAGUUUUUUGUUUGUUUGUUUUGGUAGCUUGGAAUCAAUAUUUAAUAAAGCCCUGCAGUCUUAAAGAUGCAAAUAUAUACUUUGGUACUCUGAAGUCGAGUGGGUAGGACAUGAAAUAUAUAAACCAUAAACCAUCUUUCAUAUCAGUUUGGACUUUUUCCAUAAUAUUUUUUGGGUAAUUUCCUAUAAUAAUAUUCUGAUUUGUUCUUUGAAACUUAUCUUUCAAGUUUUGCGUGUGUUCAAUAUUAGGCAUUUUUGAAUACAGAAUUAAAAUAACGACCAAAAUGUGGACAAGAGGAGGCUAAUGAACUUGUUAUCUUGUGGAAUUUCUGAAAUCCUAAAAUUGUGACAACACAGAAUGUUCCAGGACCUCACACAUACCCAUAAGAUAUAUCUUCUGGGCUAUGUUCCUCAUGUGGUUUGUGUAUGCUUCCAGCUCAGGGAGAUGUCAAGCUUGCUUUUCCUUUGACCUUGCAUGAUUCACUUGGAAGUUUUCUGGUUGCACUUAUCCUCUAAUUUUUUUUUUUUGUCUCUACGUUUUUAUUUGUCUUCUGUACAAUUCACAUAACAUCUCUUUAUUUUCCUCUCUGCAGUCCUAAAGUGGCCUCCCUCUCUCUCUCUCUCAGUUCUGAUGUUGAUGUUAAUAAUAUACUGCCCUAAACCUUGGAUUUCUAAUUUUCAACUUAGGUUAAUUUUCAUCUACAUUUUCCCUAAGGUGACCACAGUUUACUUUGUAAACCCUAGAAUGGUGAAUGGAAGUUUGGUGUGUGUGUCUUUUUAAUGAUUGGAGCUUGAUCUCUAUGUGACUUUCCAUUAGCUUGGUAUCAUGUGACCCCAGGGUUGGGCAGGAAAUUAGUUUCUGUCCAGAAUAGCAGGAUACACCCAGAAAUGAUUUUCUUAGCUCUGAAGGUUGUUUGCUGCAGAAGCACAAAUUGAAAUAGUGGCUUAGUGAUUGACUUAACUCAUUAGAUAACCUGCUGAUAAGAAUUGAUGUUUAGAAUUUGGAAGGAAGGAAGGUUAUUUUUGUUUGUUUUUCAGGGCUUGAUAUAAGUCCCAACUACAGAGAAAAGUAAGAAGGAAAAAUGUUACUUUCGUAUAGUAGUGAACAAUAUUGUAUCAUAAAUCAAAUUGGACAGGAUUAGUCAUUUGUCAGCUUGUGUCCUGAUACCCUAUCGUAUAAAUGUGUGUGUGUUUGGGGGGGGGCAUAUAUGUUUAGUGAGGCAGCCCCUAAUAUAAAAUUUAUUAGCUUUUACAGUGAUUUCUCCAUUAUUAAAGAAAAUUAUUGAGGAACCAGUGGAAACACAUUUUGGGUUUUAAUUUUUUUUGGCAAGCUCAGCUUUUUCAAGCUGUUUAUUUUUGCAGAUGUAUUUCUUCACUUCUUAAGAAUGAAGCGAGGAAUGUUUGCUGGCUUCCAGGUUAGUACCACCCAGAAAUUUUUUUAAAAUAUGUUUUCUUAAAAGACAUAUACAUAUACACACACAUAAUAUAUUUUGGUAGGGGAGAUAGAGAAUCUUCGUUUUUGUGAACUGGAAGGUUUGAAAAGUAUAUUUAAAUAAUGUAUUCUUAUUUUUUUUUGUCUUUUUAGGGCCGCACCCAUGGCAUAUGGAGGUUCCCAGGCUAGGGGUCUAGUCAGAGCUAUUGCCACAGGCCUAUGCCUACACCAUAGCCACAGCAAUGCCAUAUCUGAGUCGCAUUUGUGACCUACACCACAGCUUAUGGCAAUGCCAAAUCCUUAACCUACUGAGCGAGGCCAGGGAUUGAACCCGCAACCUCAUGUUCCUAGUAGGAUUCGUUUCUGCUGCGCCACAAUGGGAACUCCUAAAUAAUGUAUUUUUAAUAUUGCUUGUGAAUAUACUGCUUAUUUUCAUCCAUAUUGGCUUUUUGCCUUUUGGGGGGUACUCAUUAUUUCAUAGUUAAUGAUUUUUAUGGAAAGGAGAUAAAAGUUGAUCAUGUUUUUGUUUUCUCUGGAAAAUUGGAAUGUACUAUUUUUGUCAUUUUAGAAUCUUUUUUUUUUUUUUUAAUCCAGGGAGCCUCCUACAGAGAGUUGUCUCCAAGGAUAUUGAUACUUGUUAGUAGAUUGUUCCAUCAACAAUCUUGUUGUUGAUGGUUCCAUCAACAACAACGCUACACUAUAGAGUAUGUCUUGUAUGGUUAAAAUAACUAUAUUAAGACAUUUGUUUGAAUAAGACUGGAAUAAAAAAAGAAAAUGACCUUCAUUUGGCAGACAUUGAGCCACCCAGUUGUGACAGGCAUUAAUGCCAUCCUGUCUACAGAAGCUGACAGUUUAGCCAAAAAUGAAGCAAUUAUCUUUGGUAUAGUGACCGUUACAAAAAGGGUUCCUUUUGCUGAUGGUAUCCAUUUCUGGCCAUCUGCAGAUGGCCUGUCACUUUGAGCUUCGAAUUUGGAGAGCGAAGUAGAUACAAGAAUGCAGGGAAUGUUACUCUGAAAUAAAAAAGGAAAAUUUAAGCUGCCUAUUGAGAACCAUGGUACCAUACUCUUUUCU
Molecule: long non-coding RNA, 2688 nt
Filed under: Sus scrofa (pig)
Lineage: Eukaryota; Metazoa; Chordata; Mammalia; Artiodactyla; Suidae
Description: lncRNA (ENSSSCG00035006267.1)
Source: RNAcentral